AUGAUGGCAAAGUCCGCAGUGACGCCUCUCUGCUGGUUCAACACACACUUACUGAGCUCUAACGCGGGGCGGGGGGGAAGAGGGGGGCUAUCAGAGGCGGCGCUUGCUGCCUCAUUCUUAGAGCAAGCCUGGUUUCACAGCCCCUCCUGCUUCCACAAGGGCUUUUUCCACAGCAACGUGCAGGCCUGUGUCUCCUCUCCUGCCUGUUCACGGGAGCGCAGGAAUCCCACGUGCAGGCCACACCUCCAGGAUUGGAGAUUGCUUUUCAACAUGAGAUUUGGAUGUGGACACAGAUCCAAACUACAUCACCUACCUCAAGAGACAGGGUUUUACCAUACUGGCCAGGCUGGUCUCAAACUCCUGACAUGGUGAUCCUCCCACCUUGGCCUCCCAAAGUGCUGGGAGUACACACGUGAGCCAACUCUGAUUCUUAGGUUCUGGUAACACCAUUUUCUUUCUCUUUCUUUCUUUUUUUUUCUCUCUCUCUUUCCUUCCUUCUUUUCUUUUCUUUCUGCCUCCCAGGUUCAAGCAAUUCUCCUGCCUCAGCCUCCCAAGUAGCUGGGACUACAGGCUAAUUUUUGUAUUUUCAGUAGAGAUAAGGUUUCACCAUGUUGGCCAGGAUGGUCUCAAUCUCUUGACCUCGUGAUCUGCCUGCCUUGGCCUCCCAAAGUGCUGGAAUUACAGGUUUGAGCCACUGCACCCAGCCUUUCUUUCUUUCUUAAAGACAGGGUCUCACUCUGUCACCCAGGCUGGAGUGCUGUGGUGUGAUCACGGGUCACUGCAGCCUCAACAUGUCCAGGUUCAGUUGAUCCUCCUGCCUCAGCCUCCCAAGUAGCUGGGACUACAGCUGUGCACCACCACUCCUGGCUAGUUUUUUUUGUUGUUGUUUUUGUUUUUUAUUUUUAAAAUCUACAACACAGAAAGCUACAAAACAGUGGAAUACCAUCUACAGAAAAUUGGGAGAAAAGAGCUGUUAACUAAAAAUCUUGUACCAGGCUGGGCACGGUGGCUCAUGCCUGUGAUCCCAGCACUUUGGGAGGCUGAGGCGGGUGAAUUACUGGAGGCCAGGAGUUCAACAUCAGCCUGGCCAUCAUGAUGAGCCCUGUCUCUACUAAAAAUACAAAAAUUAGCCAGGCGUGGUGGUGGGCGCCUGUAAUCCCAGCUACUCAUGAGGCUGAGGCAGGAGAAUUACCUGAACCCAGGAGGCAGAGGUUGCAGUGAACCAAGAUCGCGCCACUGUACUCCAGCCUGGGCGACACAGCAAGACUCUGUCUCCAAAAGAAAAAAAAAAUAAGGAUUUAUAUUUAGCCAGUUGCUGUGGCUCAUGGCUGUAAUCCCAGCAAUUUGGGAGGCCGAGGUGGGUGGAUCACCUGAGGUCAGGAGUUCGAGACUGGCCUGGCCAACAGGGUGAAACACCAUCUCUACUCAGGAGGCUGAGGCAGGAGAAUCACUUGAAC
RNAcentral lists this long non-coding RNA (1457 nucleotides) under Callithrix jacchus (white-tufted-ear marmoset). RNAcentral describes it as "lncRNA (ENSCJAG00000080628.1)". The record is from RNAcentral. Lineage: Eukaryota; Metazoa; Chordata; Mammalia; Primates; Cebidae.